Molecule: long non-coding RNA, 2779 nt
Organism: Corvus hawaiiensis (hawaiian crow)
Lineage: Eukaryota; Metazoa; Chordata; Aves; Passeriformes; Corvidae
Exons: 2
Source: RefSeq, a predicted model, not a curated record
CAGGCUGGACAUUGGGGCUUGGAGCAGCCUGGGACAGUGGGAGGUGUCCCUGCCGUGGCAGGGGGUGGUAUGGGAUCUUUUAAGUCCUUCCAAUCCAACCCAUUCCAUGCUUCUGAUGUCCCUGCCUUGGGUAGCCUCAGGGCUGACAGUUCUCAGCUGUGGCAACAAUUCCAAACAAUUCCUUUGGGGUUUAGUGCCACCCCUCUCCUCAUGGAAUCCCACGGAGCUGUUGCUGCUUCCCCAGGUGGUUACAGGAACAAAGGGGGGAGUUGCAGUUUUGGGGUGUCUUUUGCAGGCCCCCACAGGGCUCAGGAGUGCUCAGUCCAUGCCCUGCAGAGCCCAGGAAUCCAGGAUGGGAGAUUUGGAGAGGCAAAUGCUGGUAGAGGGUUCCAGCUUGCUACACUUGGUCCAAGAAUUCAUUGGGAAAAGCUCUGGAGUCUGCAAACCCAAAUGGUUGGAGACUGGUGGGGCAGAUACUGUGAGAACUUUGAGGCAUUUGGUUAUAGGAGUAAAAAUGCUAUGAAAUCCUAUAAAAUGGUGAGUUUGGGGGGUGAAUGUUGGGGGCUCCACUCGGCCUCCUUUAGGUUCCUUUGUGUGUUUGCUCGUUGUUACUGACAGGAAAAGAAUUCCCAACAAUUGUAUAGGAAGCAUUAUUCCCUAAUUCUCCUUCCACAGAGUUUUACUGUCUGGAACUUCACAUUUUGCUACUGUGAUGUUUUUCUCUCCCUGUUUUUCCUGUAUCCUUUCCUGCCGUGAUGAAGUGUUGUUAUUAUGGGAUUUUGCCACUGUUCUGGCCCAUCCAGCUGGCUGGAAUUGAUUUAUUCCAUGUGGGCCACAUCCUUAAAGGGAGUUUCCAGAGCCUGAUCUCCUCAGAAUUGUUCCAAGGCUGCCACUUCCAGAUGAUAUCCAAGCUGAAAUCCAAACCACUCUCUUGGCUUUCCACACUUGUCCUUGGAAUUCCAGAGUUUCAUCUUUCCAGCAGAGACCUCUCCUUUUUUGGACAGGUGCAUAUUCCCAGCCACUGGCUCCAGCAGAGACCAGUUAGGGACUGGAGUUGGUUUUGGAUCCUGUUCCUUUGGCUUCCCUGCUGUGUCGGCUCAGUCGGAGCCAGGAUCUGCAAUUCCAGCUCCUGGCAGCCACGUUCCCAUUGCUGCUGCUCAGCUGGGAAGUGGCAGGUGUUUAAAGGUAGAAACAACAUUUGAGCUUCCAGGUUUGUUCCCUCUCCCCAGUGGGGAUGUUUUCCAGAACAGGACAGGUGGCACCAUCCAAAGUUGGAUCCAAUUUCCGCUGUGCCACCACCAAGAGGAGAUUCCAGCCUGACUUCCAGCAGCUCUGACAAUUCCUGCUUUGCACACCCAAUUUUCCAUGGAAACAGCAUCAGGGAGCAGAGUUGGUGGUGCCUCAUUCCAUGGCCAGAUCCUGGUUUUGGAGGUGCCUCAUUCCGUGGUGAGAUCCAGGUUUUGGAGGUGUCUCAUUCCAUGGUGAGAUCCAGGUUUUGGAGGUGCCUCAUUCCUUGGUGAGAUCCAGGUUUGAGGUGCCUCAUUCCGUGGUGAGAUCCAGGUUUUGGAGGUGCCUCAUUCCAUGGUGAGAUCCAGGUUUGAGGCAUCCAUCGCCUGCUCCCGGUUCUGGGCAGGGAUUUCACCUCCUGCACCAGUGGCUGCUGCAAGGAAGUGCCAGGCUGGAGUUUGAAUUCCACAGGGAAGGUCAAAGUGACCUUCCAAAACCAAAUUCCCUGCUGGUAGAUGACAGAACUCUGAUAUUCCCUUGGGAAUGAGCCCAUUCCUGCUCACACCUUCACCAGCUCCUGCAGGUGGGUGAGGUGAGUCCUUCCCUCUGCACUGGGGGCUCCACGUCCCAAAAGGAGAGGGAAGAUCAAACCCUGACCACUCAGGAUCUGGUGGCUUUGUCCCCUUCCCAACCACUCUGUCCCAGCCCCUUGGAGCUUUCCCUUCCGGCUUUUCCCUCCUCACCCAGGCAGACGCAGCUGUACCUACAACAUUUCAACCAUGCUGAUAAAAGCUCCAACUCCUAAAGAAAUCCUGAUCCUACGGAGUCCAGGCAGGGAAUGUUCAGUAUUUCCAGCUGAAACAGUGGCUGGGAUGAGGCAGAAGCCGUGAGUGUGAUGCCAGCCAGGGGGAGUGUGAUAAACUCAGCCUUGGCUGAGAAUUCCUAAUGCUGAACCCCAACUUCCAUCAGUUUUCACAAAGUCUCUCCCUGCUUUAGCAGGAAACCACCAACUCUUGUACUGAGUCUGUUCUGAGGAGUUUAGGGCUCUUAAUUUAAUUAUUGUCUGAAUUUAUUUUCUAAAUUUGCCUCCUUUUUCUGUUUCCAUCUUGAGGCCAUCUUUGAUUUGGGCAAGUUUUUCUCUCUCGGUUCCAGCAGAGCUAAAAUUACCCACUUUUGGAAAGGUUUUUUGAUACCAAAAAUACAACUUUGGUGUGGGACUUCAGCUCAUGCUCAGGAAUUCAUCAGCCAGCAGGAGGGAAAAGAGACUAUUUAAAUUGGGGGUGGUAUUGGUUAGAAAAGGAAUCCUAAUCUUUGUCACUUUGCAUAAGACUGGGAGAGAACCAAAUUCCCUGUAGAGAGUUGGUUUUGGAAAAAAAAACCCACAAAACUUUUAAUUUAGAUAAAAAUAGAAUAUUAAAUUUCAAACUUAAUUUUAGCUGUAAUGUAAUACAGCAGUAAAAAAAUCCUACUGUUGCUGUGUAUUUCAUUAUGUUCUGUAUUUCAUGAUGGUUUUAGUUGGCAUUUUAAAAUAAAGGGUUUGUGAUGAUUUUUA